Molecule: ribosomal RNA, 465 nt
Filed under: uncultured bacterium
Lineage: Bacteria
Description: partial 16S ribosomal RNA
Rfam family: Bacterial small subunit ribosomal RNA
Source: RNAcentral
CCUACGGGUGGCAGCAGUGGGGAAUAUUGCGCAAUGGGCGAAAGCCUGACGCAGCGACGCCGCGUGAGGGAUGAAGGUCUUCGGAUCGGAAACCUCUGUCAGCAGGGAAGAACGGUCACUGUGCUAAUCAGCAGUGAAUUGACGGUACCUGCAAAGGAAGCACCGGCUAACUCCGUGCCAGCAGCCGCGGUAAUACGGAGGGUGCGAGCGUUAAUCGGAAUUACUGGGCGUAAAGCGCUCGUAGGCGGUAUGUCAAGUCUAGGGUGAAAUCCCCGCGCGCAACGUGGGAACUGCCUUUGAAACUGGCAGACUGGAGUGUGGGAGAGGAGAGUGGAAUGCCAGGUGUAGGAGUGAAAUCCGUAGAUAUCUGGAGGAACAUCAGUGGCGAAGGCGACUAUCUGGCACAUAACUGACGCUGAGGAGCGAAAGCGUGGGUAGCAAACAGGAUUAGAUACCCUAGUAGUC